AACGCACAUUGCGCCCCCUGGUAUUCCGGGGGGCAUGCCUGUCCGAGCGUCAUUACAACCCUCAAGCCUAGCUUGGUGUUGGGCUCCGCCGCCUGGCGGGCCCUAAAGUCAGUGGCGGUGCCGUCCAGCUCCGAGCGUAGUAACUCUUCUCGCUCUGGAGGCCUGGGCGCGUGCCUGCCAGCAACCCCCCAAUUUUAUCAGGUUGACCUCGGAUCAGGUAGGGAUACCCGCUGAACUUAA
RNAcentral lists this unclassified non-coding RNA (240 nucleotides) under uncultured Ascomycota. RNAcentral's name for it is "sequence contains ITS2". The stretch from base 1 to 52 matches the Rfam family "5.8S ribosomal RNA", at positions 103 to 154 of the family's 154-position model. Lineage: Eukaryota; Fungi; Ascomycota. The record is from RNAcentral.